AACCUCACAAGUAGACAGAGAUGACGUAGUGAACAGAAUUCCGGUUCAGUUAUUCUUCUCUAGAAACAGACAACAAUUCAGUAUGAUCAAAGCAAUUCUGGUGUUCAAUAAUCAUGGAAAACCACGACUUUCAAAAUUCUACCAAUAUUUCAACGAAGACAUGCAGCAGCAAAUUAUCAAGGAGACUUUUCAGUUGGUCUCCAAACGGGACGAUAAUGUUUGUAACUUCUUGGAGGGUGGGAGUCUUAUCGGAGGCUCCGAUUACAAGCUAAUCUAUCGACACUACGCAACGUUAUAUUUUGUGUUCUGUGUCGACAGCUCCGAGUCCGAACUCGGAAUCUUAGAUUUAAUCCAAGUGUUCGUUGAGACACUGGAUAAAUGCUUCGAGAAUGUGUGUGAAUUAGAUUUGAUCUUCCAUGUCGAUAAAGUUCAUUACAUUUUGAAUGAACUCGUAAUGGGUGGCAUGGUUCUAGAAACAAACAUGACUGAAAUACUCACAAGGAUCGAAGACCAGAAUAAACUGGAGAAACAAGAGGCUGGCAUCACGGCAGCACCGGCACGUGCCGUUUCAGCUGUCAAGAACAUGAACAUUCCACAGCAAAUAAAGGAUAUGAAACUGCCAGAUUUACCGCAGGCAAUCAAGGAUCUGAAGUUCUGACCAGCCGUCUCCUCGUUGGCUCCCAGCUGACUGGUCUCGUCUGCUAUCCCCGAAGCAGACACUGCUUCGAGGUCACUAUUCCAACCCCGUCGAGCUAGUGAGAAUGCACCGAUGCUGCCUGGCAUUUCUCCUUUCAUCAUGUCCUCGACUUCAUCCCAUCGCUACCAAGGCUAACCCCUGAAGACUACAAAGGAUCGAUUAUGGUGAACUGGUUCGCUCUGUCAUGGAACCGAUGUGCUAUGCUUUCUACAAAUUAAUCAGAGCUGAGUGAAAUUGUGCUCAAAAGACGGAUCAAUGGAAGGGAAUUCAAUGACGUCCGCAUUCAGUGACAAGCACUCGAGGUUACAUUAUUAUAAUUUAACAUUUCAUUCACUUAUCAUUCAACUCAUCUUUAACCGAACUCUGUCAAUACCUUGUUAGUUUACUAAAAGAUAGAUUUUGUAACCAUGUCCACAUAUAUAUAACUGACAGGAUUUAAACAUUGCGAUUCAAAGGGCGUGAAAGAAGAAUGAUUAUCUGAAAUUUCUUCUGAAUGACAUCGAAGUCAUGUAACAUAAUUUAUUUCGCACUGAGAUAAAAUGGUUCUAGGGAGGUUAUAUUCAGAUAAAAAUAUUCUUACCUUUGAAAUUGUCGUUAAGAAAUCGUGAAGCAUUACCCAAGUGAAUAUUCCGAAUGAUUGUAAAUUGUAUGAUAUAAAAGUUAUACAUAACGAAGAGCACAUUGUGAGCAACAUUCAUAUUAUGUGUCAGUAUAAUUGCUCGAUUAUUUACAUUACUCUAUCAAUCACGUAAAACUAGAUCGACGUAAAUAUUAUGUAUUAUUCUUAAUAAUAUUACAUAUUAUUUAAUCUGUUCCGACACCAUACAUAAUAUUAGACAUUAAGGAGACCUACCAAUGAACGUACCUAUUGAAAACAUUGAACAUGAAUGUUACAUCGUAUGAAAGAUGUAUUUAAUAAAUAUUAUAUUGUUAAAUAA
Molecule: unclassified non-coding RNA, 1635 nt
Filed under: Orussus abietinus
Lineage: Eukaryota; Metazoa; Arthropoda; Insecta; Hymenoptera; Orussidae
Description: aP-3 complex subunit sigma-2, transcript variant X1
Source: RNAcentral